CUUUUAUCUCUCCUUUCUCAGCUUCUCUCCCCUCUCUCCUUCUCUGUUUUUCUCUCUCCUCUCUGCAUUUGUCUCUCUCCUCUGCUUUUAUCUCUCCUUUCUGCUUUUAUCUCUCCAUUCUGCUUUUAUCUCUCCUCUCUGCUUUUAUCUCUUCUCUCUAUCUCUUCUCUCUCCUCUGCUUUUAUAUCUCCUUUCUCUGCUUCUUUCUCCUCUCUGCUUUUAUCUCUACUUUCUCUGCUUUUAUAUCUCCUUUCUGCUUUUAUCUCUCCUUUCUCUGCUUUUAUAUCUCCUUUCUGCUUUUAUCUCUCCUUUCUCAGCUUCUCUCCCCUCUCUCCUUCUCUGUUUUUCUCUCUCCUCUCUGCUUUUAUCUCUCCUUUCUGUUUUUCUCUCCUCUCCUUCUCUCUCCCGUCUCCUUCUCUCCCCUCUCUGCUGUUCUCCCCCGUCUCCCCUCGCACCGCCCGCCCCCCCCUGCCCCCGCCUCUGUUCCUGCUCUGUUCCCUCGCACCGCCCGCCCCCCCCUGCCCCCGCCUCUGUUCCUGCUCUGUUCCCUUACAAACCCUGACUCCUGUCUCUGUUCUUCCUUCUCCUUCUCCCUCCAUCCUCCCGCCCGUCCCGACCCUGCAGCCUCCCGUUAUCCUCGCCUGUGCCCGCUCUUACCCUCCCUGUCCCCCUUCUCCUUCCUCUCUCGUCCUUAUCCUUUCCCUCUCUUCCUCAUCCUCCUUCUCUCGUCCUUAUCCUUUCCCUCUCUUCCUCAUCCUCCUUCUCUCUUCCUUAUCAUCCUUCUCUCGUCCUUAUCCUUUCCCUCUCUUCCUUAUC
This 816-nucleotide long non-coding RNA is filed under the name Cyanistes caeruleus (blue tit). RNAcentral describes it as "lncRNA (ENSCCEG00000000335.1)". The record is from RNAcentral. Lineage: Eukaryota; Metazoa; Chordata; Aves; Passeriformes; Paridae.